RNAcentral lists this ribosomal RNA (593 nucleotides) under uncultured Ascomycota. Its description in RNAcentral is "eukaryotic LSU rRNA". The stretch from base 231 to 384 matches the Rfam family "5.8S ribosomal RNA". Lineage: Eukaryota; Fungi; Ascomycota. The record is from RNAcentral.
CUUGGUCAUUUAGAGGAAGUAAAAGUCGUAACAAGGUUUCCGUAGGUGAACCUGCGGAAGGAUCAUUAAAGAGACGUUGCCCUUCGGGGUAUACCUCCCACCCUUUGUUUACCGUACCUUUGUUGCUUUGGCAGGCCCGUCUUCGGACCGCCGGCUUCGGCUGGUCUGCGCCUGCCAGAGGACCCAAAACUCUGUCUGUCUGUGUCGUCUGAGUACUAUAUAAUAGUUAAAACUUUCAACAACGGAUCUCUUGGUUCUGGCAUCGAUGAAGAACGCAGCGAAAUGCGAUAAGUAAUGUGAAUUGCAGAAUUCAGUGAAUCAUCGAAUCUUUGAACGCACAUUGCGCCCUCUGGUAUUCCGGAGGGCAUGCCUGUUCGAGCGUCAUUACAACCCUCAAGCUCUGCUUGGUAUUGGGCUCUGCCGGUCCUGGCAGGCCUCAAAGUCAGUGGCGGUGCCACCCGGCUCCAAGCGUAGUAAUUCUUCUCGCUUCGGAGGCCGCGGUGCGUGCUAGCCAGCAACCCCCAAUUUUUUCAGGUUGACCUCGGAUCAGGUAGGGAUACCCGCUGAACUUAAGCAUAUCAAUAAGCGGAGGA